This 253-nucleotide ribosomal RNA is filed under the name uncultured bacterium. RNAcentral describes it as "partial 16S ribosomal RNA". It matches the Rfam family "Bacterial small subunit ribosomal RNA", at positions 524 to 776 of the family's 1533-position model. The record is from RNAcentral.
UACGGGGGGGGCAAGCGUUGUUCGGAAUUACUGGGCGUAAAGGGCUCGUAGGUGGCCAACUCAGUCAGACGUGAAAUCCCUCGGCUUAACCGGGGAACUGCGUCUGAUACUGGAUGGCUUGAGGUUGGGAGAGGGAUGCGGAAUUCCAGGUGUAGCGGUGAAAUGCGUAGAUAUCUGGAGGAACAUCUGUGGCGAAGGCGGCCACCUGGACCAGCACUGACACUGAGGCACGAAAGCGUGGGGAGCAAACAGG